Molecule: ribosomal RNA, 377 nt
Filed under: uncultured organism
Description: partial 16S ribosomal RNA
Rfam family: Bacterial small subunit ribosomal RNA
Source: RNAcentral
GUAGGGGGCAAGCGUUGUCCGGAAUUAUUGGGCGUAAAGCGCGCGCAGGCUGCCCCCCAAGUCAGAUGUGAAAUCCCUCGGCUCAACCGAGGGCCUGCAUUUGAAACUGGUGGGCUAGAGUACAGGAGAGGGAAGUGGAAUUCCUAGUGUAGCGGUGAAAUGCGCAGAUAUUAGGAAGAACACCGGUGGCGAAGGCGGCUUCCUGGACUGUUACUGACGCUGAGGUGCGAAAGCUAGGGGAGCAAACAGGGAUUAGAUACCCUGGUAGUCCUAGCCGUAAACGAUGGUCACUAGGUGUAGGGGGUUAUCAACCCCCCCCCUGUGCCCGAAGCUAACGCAUUAAGUGACCCGCCUGGGGGAGUACGGCCGCAAGGCUA